RNAcentral lists this ribosomal RNA (540 nucleotides) under uncultured delta proteobacterium. RNAcentral describes it as "bacterial SSU rRNA". It matches the Rfam family "Bacterial small subunit ribosomal RNA", at positions 1 to 523 of the family's 1533-position model. The record is from RNAcentral. Lineage: Bacteria; Deltaproteobacteria.
GACUAGAGUUUGAUCCUGGCCUCAGAACGAACGUUAGCGGCGCGCUUAACACAUGCAAGUCGAGCGAGAAAGGGCUUAGGCCCCGGUAAAGCGGCGCACGGGUGAGUAACACGUAGGUAAUCUGCCCCGGAGAGGUGGAUAACCUUCCGAAAGGAGGGCUAAUACAGCAUAAGACCACGGAAGCGAGAGUUUCUGAGGUCAAAGCCUGCCUCUGCAAGCAAGCAGGUGCUCCGGGAUGAGCCUGCGGCCCAUCAGCUAGUUGGUAGGGUAACGGCCUACCAAGGCGAAGACGGGUAGCUGGUCUGAGAGGAUGAUCAGCCACACUGGAACUGAGACACGGUCCAGACUCCUACGGGAGGCAGCAGUGGGGAAUCUUGCGCAAUGGGCGAAAGCCUGACGCAGCGACGCCGCGUGAGCGAUGAAGGCCUUCGGGUUGUAAAGCUCUGUGGAGGGGGACGAAUAAGGGCCGUUGAACAGGCGGCCCGAUGACGGUACCCCUUUAGCAAGCACCGGCUAACUCUGUGCCAGCAGCCGCGGUAA